RNAcentral lists this long non-coding RNA (8969 nucleotides) under Homo sapiens (human). RNAcentral's name for it is "HSALNT0374534". The record is from RNAcentral. Lineage: Eukaryota; Metazoa; Chordata; Mammalia; Primates; Hominidae.
GUUAUUAAACACAGGCUUUGAUGAUGACACAUUUCCCAUGUUCAUAACUUGUGAUUGGUGAAGAAACAGCUGAGGCCUAGAUAAGUUAUGUGCCCAAUGCCACACAGCUAGAAAGCUACAAAGCUGAAGUUUGAACCCAACUCAUCUUGGUCCAGAGUCUGUGCACAGAAGUCCUCAUACAUCCAGCACUCAGCCUGCUCUUGAGCAAAAGGUACAUGUCCAACUUAAGAAAGCGUUUACUACUAGAGAUCGCUGAAAAAAUCAUAAGUCAUUUCAAUCAGGUUGAAUGCACUGCCCCAGAGAUGUUCAAGAAGAGGUUCAAGGACUUCUUAGGACGGAGUUUUAUGAGAGGCACCAACAUUGAAGACAUCAAAUCCAAUUGUAAAGUCCUUCCAAAUGGAAGAUUGUAAAAGCAUCUAAAGGUCUAUUCUGGAUGGGAAGAUAACAUGGGCAAAGGUAAUGACUAUCUGGGAGGAGCAGACCAGUAUGGCUGUAAUGAGAAAUUCAUGGAGAAGAGUGGUUUCCAGUAAUGCUGCAAAAAUCGGCUAGAAUCAGAUUGCGAGAGACCCUGAAUGUCAGCAAAAUCGGGUUUUGGUCUUAAUCCUCUUAAUCCUUUAACUGAUGGGAAGACUUAAAGAGUUCCUCCUCUGGAAAGUGAUAAAGUUUUGCCUUUUUUUUUUUUUUCUAGUUUGGAGUUUUUUGUUUUGUUUUGUUUUUGAUACAAAGGGUAUGAAGUAAAUUAAUCAGAUGACAUUCUUGAUCUACUGCGAAUGACUCAGUCAAGCCUCUUUUGCAUCUUCUCUUCCUCCCACUGUCCACAAGGUGGCACCAGAACUCAAAAUCAGAACUCCCUGGAAGGUUGUCUAACUGUUCCAAGCCUUUCCUGUAGGAUGACUCCUAUAAAGAUACUUUUGAGGUGAACAUGUCAAAAUAUAUUUUUAUUAACAAUUUUUAAUCGGCCUCUUCAUUCACUCUGGUGUAUUUUUCCAGGAGUUAACAAUUUUCGUCUUAACUGACUGCAACGUUCUGAAGAACUUCUGGGGACUGUGCCAGUUUAGAGACUAUUGUAGACCAAAAUCAUAAACAACACAUCCUACAGAAAAUGCUAAUGAUCAACUGGACGUUGAUACAGUGGAAUUUGUUCGACCCUCGAUGACUUCCAGAAGGGGGGAGCUGUUCUAGUUCACAAGAUGGAGAGGUUUGUCAGGUGGCCGGUUAAAUAAGCUUCUUGACACUUAACUCUAGGUAGGAUGUGGAAGAAGAUGAAAGUCUGAGCCAACUUACUACCUAAUUCUUCAGGAAAGAAAUGUGAGAGUACAGCACUGUGUCCCCUCUUACCUUUCCAAGUGGCUUUUCAUGCUGUCAACUACUUUACACUGCAGAGGGCUCUCUCCUUUACAUAUUUCUUAAGCAAUUUUUUUUUCUUAAUGUCACAGUUCUGCUUUUCUUUUGUCUUUUUUUUUUUUUUUUUAAAUAAUGAGAGGGAAGCAGGCUUUCAAUUUGUUGGAAAGUUUCUGUUCUCACCAACCUCUAUAAAAAGCAAUCAUUCUUGGUCACUUGUAAAUAUGCCUAGUACGCGUAUCAGGCUUCCUAUUUUAAACAUCUAAGACUAGUUUGUAUGAUUCGAAAUUUCAAAAGGCAAAAUGGCCUAGCACCCAAAUCACAGGUAAGUGGGCACAUGGCAUUUUCCCCUAAAUCCUUCAAACUGAAAUUUGAGGAGGAAACACAAAGUUAGUGAGCGUGUGACAAAGCAGGUAUUGUUUAUAAAGAUAAAGAGGCUUCUGUCUAAAUACCAUGGUCUCAAUUUCCCAGAUUCUAGAGAAAAAGAAAAAAAAAGUAAGUAUUCUAUUUAAUUUUAUUUACUUGAAAUUCUUAUGUUUUAGUUUUUCCAAACCUGUCUCUUCUAAAAUGGGCAGUAGAAAAGAGAGGCUAAUAUAGAUGAUAGACUGAUGGACUUGGAUAAAUAAUUAAUGGCCUGGAGUAAUUAGCUGGAAGAUGUUUAAUCAUUAAUUUGUCUGAGUCAUCAGAAGCAUUUGAGCUUACCCAUAAAAUAUUCCACUAAUCAUGAGUGUGUAUAUUUUGUCAAGAUGGAAAUUAAUAUGAGAUGAGAAUUAGCACUUUGAAAAAUUAAAAUACAGGACAAGUCUGUUUGGUCUACUCUUUGUUUAAGAUAAAUGAAAUUUUGCUUUCCUUUACUGUACCUAAUGAGAAAAAAAAGGUACAUAAAUUCUAUCUGUACACAUAACCAAGAAGUCAAACUUUUUGGUUGGAGAGGCAAAGUAAUUGGCAAGUUUGUCUUUCUUUAGGGACUUAUUUAGGGGGUAGGAGAGCAAAAACAAAAACACUUCAUUAUUAAAGUAUCUGGUGAACAAUUAGGCCUCUUUCAGAGGAUUUAAGGGGAAAGGGUCCUGUAACAUAAUGCAAUUUAUGGCUGUGUUCUUCAAUGUGGUGUUUUCCAAUACAAUUUUAUUACAGGCUCUAAAUUAUACUUUCACAGGAAAGGUCUGUCUUUAAACUUUUAGGUCACAAUUGUUCAGAUCUUUUCACACUGAAUCAAUCAGGUUUAAAGCUGGCAAAAUCCUUGGCAGCCUUGUAAAUCUUUCAAAAGAUGUUAUCCAAUUACCCUUCAUGGGCCACAGGAUUCUACAGCAUGACUAUUUCCUUCUCUAUGAGGAAUUAAGUGCUCAUGAGAGGUUAGAAACCAAUGGAGUUGAAAAGCAAGGUUCUGCAUUUUUCCUCCAGUUCACAUGGUAGAGAUAUAGGCAGCUACUGAGAUUUCCUGAGAUCUGCCACAGACAUUCUGGCCCUCCUGGCAUCAUUAAAAUUUUAAUUGCUUUAAAUCAGAAAAAAAAAAAAAAAAAAGAAGACAUUAACACCAGAAUGGUUCUUGUUACAAAACCUUAUUUUUGGAGCUGUAUUAAGGAUUUACCAGAAGAACAUGUUCCAAAUGGAAAGCAUAAGAGAUCACUAUUACUCUUAGUUACUUUUGCAAGAAAAACAUUUUUAGGUACAGUCAGUAAAUACACAAGGGAUUGAAAAAGAAAAUAACAAAGAGGAUAAAUGUACUUCUUUAGUCUGUGUUGAUCUAAAAAAUGUGCUUAUUUUCCAUUUAAAAAACACAUAUUAAUCUCUGUUAGUUCUUCCUCUUCUAGGUUUCCGAUAUAGAAUACUAAUAAAAGGCUAAGGAGACAUUCAAUUUAUAUAAAAGCCUAUUUCAUGCCACUUGGUUUCAAGGGAGAAAAUAAUCAUGGGCAGAAUCAUUUGAAAAUAAUUUUUCAAGGAAAAAUGUGAACAUGUAGCUAGAUUGCUUCACAGAAGUUAGGAAAGCACAGCUUUCCUUUGUCAUGUAAAAAGCAGAGUGGAGGUUAUGGGAUUCCAGCUGCACCUUUGACCUCAAGGCUUCUUGAGUCACUCACUUGUCAUGACCUUUGACCUUUGGCAAAUCAUGACCCUAUCUGUUUCGCUUGAUUUUUACUAUCUACAACAAAAGGCCUUUUCCCCUCUGGAACACAUAAGCAGAAGUCAUAUAAAUGUUUGCAAAUAGUUUGUCCGCCAACCAUCAGGCAAAGAGAGAAGAAGUAUAAAAAAAAAUUACAAAGCAUGGAGGAAAAUGCUCUAACAUAUAAAGUUUCCUCCAGUGGCGUAGAUUGAUUUCAAUGACUACAGUGUAAACACCUGGAUUCAUGUUCCCUCUUUUAAAAAUCUUUACUUUCUUUGAUUUAAAAUAUAAUGUAGUAAGAGGUGAAAAGAUUGGUGUUUUAAUAAAUUAUACUUCUUGUACUUUGCACUCUAGUCACUAAAAAUUGCAGACAUCAUCUCACAGCUGUGUGUUAUCAAUACCUCCUUUUACUCACUUUCUAGAUUGUUUCCAUUUCCAAAGAAAUGCAAUUCCUUUUUACAAGAUUGUGAGUGAAAGGUAAAUAUGUGCAAACUUUGGGAAUAAAAUGUAGUGUUGGAGCUAACUCAAGUACAGAAGAGGAAACCAGGCUUGCAAAAGCGUACAUAGAAGCUCUCCGGGUAGAAUAUUCAACCACUUAACACAUAUAAUUCUAAGUCCCAAACCUUAUUUAGUCUUUACGAUAAUAGCAAUUAUUCCGAAUCUAUUUAAUACACACUGCUGAUUGGUAACACAUGCUUCGAGUUUUCACAAGUUUUCCUUUCGAAUACUGAAGUUUGUUUGCUUGCUUGUUUUAAGCAAGUAAUAAGGAGAAAAAAGCUUGAAGAUAUACAUUAAUUAAAGUGUCUAGAAGGUUCGGCACAACAAAGAAUGAUGUAUACAUUUUCACCAAGAUGAGAAUGAAUGAAAUCUCUUGGAUCAUAAUACUUUAGGAUUUGUCUAUUUAUGGGAUGUUUUGUGGUUAUUUUUACUGCCCAGCCAGCAUGGAGAUUCUUAUUUUUUUCUUUUUGCACCAAGACAGAAGUAUUUUAAUAUUUGCUUUGGGAAUAGUUUUAUUUUUAGCUAUUUCCACCUACUUUUUGCAUUCAUUCACAAUCCACUGUUUUGUUUUUUCCUGGCAGUUUCUCUUUCUCUGAAGCUCAAAACACGUGUUUGAUUCUUCGAAAACAGUGAAAAUUGGCAUCUUAAUGAAGUCAGUUUAGAGUGUAGCAGUUGGAGGUGUGUGUCCAAGAGGCGACGUGGCACAUGCCCUCCAGCCAGUUUUGUUGGACCCCAGUGGAAAGCUUUCUGAAUGCCAGUUCCUACCCAGAUUUCCCAGCUCACCAGUCCCAGCCAGCUGGCCAUGGACCAGAUUUGGCCUGAAGCAAUCCAACUUCUCUGCCAUCCAGUAGGUCCAGCCACAAUGAAUUUAGACUCCAAUGAAGUCUGAAUCUUAGUGCUGGAGAGGAACCCCCUUCUCCAAGUGUAUUUCUUCAUUUGGGACUUUCAGAGAAUUCAAGGGAAUUCCCUGAAUUCUCUUUUAUACCCUCUGAGUGGCUACUCACCUGCUACCAGUUAGUAUUUCUUUCUAUUAAAUAUUCCCUGAUCAAUUACUGGUGUUGAUUCUGUUUCCUUUUUGGACCCUGUCUCGUACAGUAAAUCAAUGAGUAAGAAGUCUGAAUACAUAGGACAUUUACUCAGUCUUAAUUCAAGAAUAUUCUGCCUUACUAGGCUAAAAAAAAUGUUAACAAGCAGAGCUUUUUAAAGACCUAAUGUAAUCAUCAGACUCCAGGGAAUAGAUUUUUACUGCUGGAUGGAGCCCAAGAGGCCACCAGCCUUUCCAGUUGAACCAUCCUGGUCACCCAGAGGUGAAGUGGCUUUGUUUAUGGAGUGGCUGUGUGGGACAUGCUGGGAGGCAGCUUCUCCUUGAGAUUCCCCUGGCUGCUGCUGAGGACCCUCUCCAGGAGCUGCACCAGAUGAUGCACUGACGUUUUUAUGAGGACCCAUGGGAGGGAGAAAGUUCUCUCAAGCCUAAGAACUGGGAAUAGUCAUGCUUCUUCUGAAUGACUCUUGGGAUUUAGCUCAUGGACACUCUUGAAACAUGUAACUGCGUGGUUCCUAUUUAGAACAGUGGCCAGAAAGGUCAGGAACAAAACGGUGGCUCUCUCCUGGUAAGCAGGCAGUGCCCCACGGCAAUGACGCUUUACAUUCCUGCUCCCCUGGCUUAACCUCAGCUGUUUUACACCCUGCUUUUUCCCUUGCCUUGAUUGCCUCAUGUAUUUAUUACUGUUAUCCUAUUACAUACAUCAGACACUUUAAAACAUCCAUUUAAGAGUUAGCUAUAAACAAAAUAUCAAAGUAUAAAUCUAUUCUCCUCAAGCUAACAUCAUUGUUCUUUUCAUUACUGUUUCCUUACAGCAACAAAGAAUUCAAAUACUUGUAUCUUCCUGAGAAUAGGUGCACCUCGGAGAUCCAAGAGCAAUUUGUUCAGAUAUUUCAAAAUUUCCUUUACCACUUGCUUACCUAAUUAAUAUGUGUAAUAAAUGUCCAAUUUCAUAUCCAAAUCACAAAAAUUGUUAGCCUGGGCUUUAUCAACUUUUUAGUAUUUUUUCAAUGCAAAGGUAUCCAAAUUGAUCAGUUUGACUAUUACAAGGCUGGCCACAGGCUCAGAAAGAAUAAACUUUUAUUUUUUCUUAUUUCUUUAUCAAAUUAUAGUGUCAAAAUGUGGUUUCUUUCAAAGACAGUCAUUUAGCAAUACUCCACAAAUUGUGGGGAAAAAAAAAAUUUGUGUCCUCUCUCUUAUUUUUGUGCUCUUAUUGUGUUUUCUUUGCUGAAUAAGCAGCUUUCUUUCUCGUGUCUCUAGGAUGGUGAGAGAUGACUAUUCAAAACCUUAUUUACACCUAGACUCCCUCAUGUUUCUGUGCUUCCGUGGCCAGACUUCCACAGCUAUCAUUUAUCAUGGGCAGUGACUCAUACCUUGUAGGGGCAAAAUAAAUAUUUGCUGAAUAAAUCCUCAGAGCUGCUACCAAAAAUGGGAAACCUUGGAAACAAAAAAGCAAUCAUAGAAAAUAAAGUAACUGCAGCUGUGGAAACAGAAAAGCUAUAUGAUAUUCUUGCUUUUCUCUUCAUAAUUCCUCCAAAGAGAGGCAGAUUUUGUUUUCUGUACUGAAGCUGAAAAGCAACGUAGCUUUGUCUUAGUCUGAUUUCAAAGAAUUCCAAACAACGUUUUUCUUGUUUUCCUUUACUUCAGAGAAAACGUGACACUUUGCCGUUGGUAGAUAUUCAUUCUUUUUGUUAAGUAUCUAUGUGAGAGCUUGUCAAUGUUUUUAUGCAGAUAGCCCUGGUAACCUUGGAUCAUCCUCCAGAAAGCCUUUGGUGAAGAAAAGUCAGGCAAAUUGACCUACAGACCAGUCUAAUGGGAGCAAUUCGGAGAAAUGGGCCAUGGGAACAAAUGACAGGAACAGAUAAAAAAAGAAGUGUAAAUGAACCAAAAAGGAGUCAGUGCUUCUGCUCUCCUAUUGCUAUAACCAGCACAUUACUAGACGUAGCCUUCUCUUGGUCUCUUAUUUAACCCUGAGUAUGGUUCAUAGAUAAAUGGGCCAGUGUCCUUUUAACCAUCAGAUUUUCCAUUUAUUUCAGAAAAUAUAAGAUCAAUUUUCCAUGUGAUUUAAUUGGGUUACUGGGUUAGUGCCCUUCAUGCCUUCAAACAUAUUCUUGUACCUAUUUGUAUUACCCAAGUCUUUGAUCUUCCAUAAUGAAGCCUGUGUUUCUCUUAGGGCCCUUCUGGGAUGACUAGCUCAACCGAAUCAAGGAGGAAUGAACCCUUAUUUCUGAACACCCUAAGUUCCUCAUGCAAGUGAGCUAACAGAAAUCAAAACAGACAAAUGAAUUGCAAAAGACACAUUUUAAAUACCGUAUCCUAUCAGUUGAUAUUUUAAUAAAACGGGUGACUAGAUUUUCAGACUUAGACUGGUCUUACAAGUAAUUUGUUUUUGAAAUUACUAAUGGGAAAAUACGUUGACAUUUUCCAACUUUAUCAAUCCCGUGAAAAGUUUUGAUGAUCACUUUUAAGACAUUUUAACAAAAAUAACCUUUUCCUGUAGUAUGUAAGCCUUUGGUUAAGGAAAGCAUGCAUGUUGUAAGUGUAAGUUCUCCUGGCAUUGCGGUGUAAGUAUGACCAGGAAGAUAAAAGGCAGUGGUGUAGCAAAACAGAGCUAUUCAGAUAUGUGUACAGACAGGAUCCCCGGGAGCCAAGGGAUGCUGUGUUGUGAUAUGCUGCAGUUACAUCUGCUCUUGUCCUGUGUGGUCAGCUCACUUCUGAUAAGAUGUGGGAUCUCUGAGGAAUUAAGUCAGGACCUCAAUCUAACCACUAGAGAGCCUGUCGUUGGCAUUAGCAGUGACAUUGGCCCUGCAGUAUGCAAUAGCUGAGCUUCCCCUUGACAAUCACAAAAGUUCCUCAAAGGCUGUCUGCAGGAUAAUGUGAGCAAGUAAAGAGGAAGAGAAGCAUGGCAUGCACAGUACUUAGUAAUGGAAAUAUGACAAUUCCUGUUGCUAUUUUUGACUGGUGCAAAAUUACAGUGGGGAUAAGGCAGUCUAGAAAAGGCUAUGGCUUCAGUGUGCUUAGUUUGGGGGUGAAAGUAGAGAUAAGGGUUGGUACAGUUAAAAAUAAAUGAUUCUGUUGCCAUGGUUUCCUUCUUUAUAAAUUCUUUUCAACAUGAAUUGCUGUUGUUGUGUUUAAUUUUAGAUUCAUGCAGAUUUUCAACAAAUAAGAAUUCCUAUACGUCUGAGAAAUGGUUUUUUAAAGCUGUAGGAAAAGGUUUUUGGCAGUCUGGUUUAAAUAUUUCUAAGCAAAACUAACAUGCAGGGUUCUGGCAUUUAGACAACUACCAAAGGAAAGCGAAUAAAGAGAAUGGGAACUUAAGGAACAUAUAAGGCUACAUUUAUUGUUCUGAUUAAAACAUAAAUUCAUAUUAUUGUAACAUUUAAGGGCAUGCUGAGUAUUAAAUAUGGCCUCAGAACCAUAGGAAUACAGGUGUUCCUCCUAUGGAGUAAGUCUCUUGACAAUGUACCCAUAAAAGAUUUCAGGUAUCAAACAUUAAUUUAGAUAAUUAUGUGUUUAUUAAUAUCAAAGGCUCUAAUUGUGUUUUCAAAACCUGUCAUAUUACCUCAAAUACAAUUCCAUUUUCUUGACUAGGGAACCAGAAUUACUUAUAAUUUAUAUCCACUCUAAAACACCUAUGUUUCAUUUUUUUAAAAAUUAAUAAUGGAUAUUUCAAAUUUGGAAAACAUAAAUGAGAAGGAAGAGUUGACUUUACCAAAUAAAUUAUUUUUCCUUAUGCAUUCCUUAUAGUAUCAUUUAAAUAAUGAACUCCCCUACCACAAUUAAAAUAGGUCUAGAUUUUUAAAAAGCAAGAAAAUCAAAUUACCUGUACAGAAAUGCGUUAUAAUGCAGUUACAAUGUAAACAGCAAUAAUACAGUCGCAGUAGUAAAGGAUGAAAUUCAUUACAACUGAAAGGAAAUGAGUGAACUAUAUUUGUCUUUAUAAAUUUAUUUUCUAAUUUCAUUACUCUGAUUUAUUAUAGUACUUAUUUU